RNAcentral lists this ribosomal RNA (1203 nucleotides) under uncultured fungus. Its description in RNAcentral is "eukaryotic LSU rRNA". The stretch from base 528 to 1203 matches the Rfam family "Eukaryotic large subunit ribosomal RNA", at positions 1 to 649 of the family's 3401-position model. Lineage: Eukaryota; Fungi. The record is from RNAcentral.
AAGUCGUAACAAGGUUUCCGUAGGUGAACCUGCGGAAGGAUCAUUACAGAAUACCAAUUAUACUCUGUAUAUCUACACACACCUGUGCACCCGAGGCGGAUCCCCCUGUCUGUGGGGAACUGCUCCUCUUUCACACACCACGUUGAUUGUCCUAGAAUGUCUUUACUUUGCGUCUAACGCGAAAUCUUAACAACUUUCAGCAACGGAUCUCUUGGCUCUCGCAUCGAUGAAGAACGCAGCGAAAUGCGAUAAGUAAUGUGAAUUGCGGAAUUCAGUGAAUCAUCGAAUCUUUGAACGCAACUUGCGCUCCUUGGUCCAAUCAAGGAGUAUGCCUGUUUGAGUGCCGUGUAUCUCUCAACCCCACAAGGUUGGACUUGAGGCGUGCGGUCGGACCUGAGGUCCAUCGCUCCCUUUAAAUGCAUGACCAGCUUUUGAGACGUGAUAGUUCACCGUCAGAGAAGCACAGGUCUCGAGCUUUCCCCGUCCAGGNAUCGCCCAACACACAAUUAAUUUUUUUUUUGUUUGACUGGCCUCAAAUCAGGUAGGAUUACCCGCUGAACUUAAGCAUAUCAAUAAGCGGAGGAAAAGAAACUAACAAGGAUUCCCCUAGUAACGGCGAGUGAAGCGGGAAGAGCUCAAAUUUGUAAUCUGGCGGUCUUUGGCCGUCCGAGUUGUAGUCUGGAGAAGUGCUUUCAGUGCUGGACCGUGUACAAGUCUCUUGGAAUAGAGCGUCAUAGAGGGUGAGAAUCCCGUCUCUGACACGGACCCCCAGUGCUAUGUGAUGCGCUCUCGAAGAGUCGAGUUGUUUGGGAAUGCAGCUCAAAACGGGUGGUAAACUCCAUCUAAAGCUAAAUAUUGGCGAGAGACCGAUAGCGAACAAGUACCGUGAGGGAAAGAUGAAAAGCACUUUGGAAAGAGAGUUAAACAGUACGUGAAAUUGCUGAAAGGGAAACACUUGAAGUCAGUCGCGUCUGCCAGGACUCAGUUGGGCUUCUGCCUGACGUACUUCCUGGUGGGACGGGCCAGCAUCGAUUUGGGUUGUCAGAGAAAGGCGAGAGGAAGGUGGCAUCCUUCGGGGUGUGUUAUAGCCUCUUGUCGUACAUGGCGGCUCGGAUCGAGGAACUUUGCAGCACGCCGUCCUCGGACGGUCGGGGUUCGCCCACGCUCGUGCUUAGGAUGCUGGCGUAAUGGCUUUAAAUGACC